AUCGCUGGUUGACAUCGUUAUUCGAUUCGCUCGGUUUAUUUCGUUCCUUUUUUUACAUUCGAUUUUAGCACCAGUUUUUCUUUUUUUUUAAAUUCUGGCAAUUAGUUAAUAGAAUGUGAUUUAAUCAUAGAAUAGGUCCAUUUAUUUUGCUUAAAGUCGAAAUAAUUUCAAUCGUUCGAGUAGUUUUGUGUUUUUCAAGUAUCUCCAAGCAGUUCAAGUACUUUUCAAUCGUUCAAGU
RNAcentral lists this unclassified non-coding RNA (238 nucleotides) under Bombus terrestris (buff-tailed bumblebee). Its description in RNAcentral is "misc RNA ENSBTSG00005020252.1". The record is from RNAcentral. Lineage: Eukaryota; Metazoa; Arthropoda; Insecta; Hymenoptera; Apidae.